This 253-nucleotide ribosomal RNA is filed under the name uncultured bacterium. Its description in RNAcentral is "partial 16S ribosomal RNA". It matches the Rfam family "Bacterial small subunit ribosomal RNA", at positions 524 to 776 of the family's 1533-position model. The record is from RNAcentral.
UACGUAGGCAGCAAGCGUUGUUCGGAGUUACUGGGCGUAAAGAGUAUGUAGGCGGUUGGGUAAGUUUGGUGUGAAAUCUCCCGGCUUAACUGGGAGGGUGCGCUAAAGACUGCCUGGCUCGAGUGUGGGAGAGGAAAGCGGAAUUCCUGGUGUAGCGGUGAAAUGCGUAGAUAUCAGGAGGAACACCUGUGGCGAAGGCGGCUUCCUGGACCGACACUGACGCUGAGGCGCGAAAGCUAGGGGAGCAAACGGG